RNAcentral lists this ribosomal RNA (440 nucleotides) under uncultured bacterium. RNAcentral describes it as "partial 16S ribosomal RNA". It matches the Rfam family "Bacterial small subunit ribosomal RNA", at positions 338 to 795 of the family's 1533-position model. The record is from RNAcentral.
CCUACGGGGGGCAGCAGUGGGGAAUAUUGCACAAUGGGGGAAACCCUGAUGCAGCGACGCCGCGUGAGUGAAGAAGUAUUUCGGUACGUAAAGCUCUAUCAGCAGGGAAGAAAAUGACGGUACCUGACUAAGAAGCCCCGGCUAACUACGUGCCAGCAGCCGCGGUAAUACGUAGGGGGCAAGCGUUAUCCGGAUUUACUGGGUGUAAAGGGAGCGUAGACGGCAGCGCAAGUCUGGAGUGAAAUCCCAUGGCUUAACCAUGGAACUGCUUUGGAAACUGUGCAGCUAGAGUGCAGGAGAGGUAAGCGGAAUUCCGAGUGUAGCGGUGAAAUGCGUAGAUAUUAGGAGGAACACCAGUGGCGAAGGCGGCUUACUGGACUGUAACUGACGUUGAGGCUCGAAAGCGUGGGGAGCAAACAGGAUUAGAUACCCCAGUAGUC